This 1309-nucleotide ribosomal RNA is filed under the name uncultured fungus. RNAcentral describes it as "eukaryotic LSU rRNA". The stretch from base 645 to 1309 matches the Rfam family "Eukaryotic large subunit ribosomal RNA", at positions 1 to 649 of the family's 3401-position model. The record is from RNAcentral. Lineage: Eukaryota; Fungi.
AAGUCGUAACAAGGUUUCCGUAGGUGAACCUGCGGAAGGAUCAUUAUUGAAUAAACCUGAUGUGGUUGUAGCUGGCUCUCUUGAGAGUAAGUGCUCGCCCGUCAUCUUUGUCUUUCCACCUGUGCACUUCUUGUAGAUUUGGAUGUAACUGUCCGAGGCAACUCGGUUGGGAGGAAUGUCCUUCGUGGCUUUCCUUGUAUGUCCAAGUCUAUGUUUUCAUAUACUCCAAAGAAUGUAACAGAAUGUAUCACUAGGCCUUGUGCCUAUAAACUAAAUACAACUUUCAGCAACGGAUCUCUUGGCUCUCGCAUCGAUGAAGAACGCAGCGAAAUGCGAUAAGUAAUGUGAAUUGCAGAAUUCAGUGAAUCAUCGAAUCUUUGAACGCACCUUGCGCCCCUUGGUAUUCCGAGGGGCAUGCCUGUUUGAGUGUCAUUAAAUUCUCAACCUUACUAGCUUUUGCUAUGUAAUGNCUUGGAUAUGGGGGUCUUUUGCUGGUUUCGAAAGGAAUCUGCUCCCCUUAAAUGCAUUAGCCGGUGCCCCGCGUGGACCGUCUAUUGNUGUGAUAACUAUCUACGCCGUUAGACGUCUGCUUUAAAUGGGUUGUGCUGCUUCUAAUCGUCCUCUUAGGACAAUUAUUGACCAUUUGACCUCAAAUCAGGUAGGACUACCCGCUGAACUUAAGCAUAUCANUAAGCGGAGGAAAAGAAACUAACCAGGAUUCCCCUAGUAACUGCGAGUGAAGCGGGAAAAGCUCAAAUUUAAAAGCUGGCGGUCUUUGGCCGUCCGCGUUGUAAUCUAGAGAAGUGUUACCCGCGUUGGACCGUGUACAAGUCUCCUGGAAUGGAGCGUCAUAGAGGGUGACAAUCCCGUCUUUGACACGGACUCCCAAGGCUUUGUGGUGCGCUCUCAAAGAGUCGAGUUGUUUGGGAAUGCAGCUCAAAAUGGGUGGUAAAUUCCAUCUAAAGCUAAAUAUUGGCGAGAGACCGAUAGCGAACAAGUACCGUGAGGGAAAGAUGAAAAGAACUUUGGAAAGAGAGUUAAACAGUACGUGAAAUUGCUGAAAGGGAAACGCUUGAAGUCAGUCGCGUCGUCCGGAGAUCAACCUUGCUUUUGCUGGGCGGUACUCUCCGGUUGACGGGCCAGCAUCAGUUUUAGUCGCUGGAAAAGGGCGGAGGGAAUGUGGCAUCUUCGGAUGUGUUAUAGCCCUUCGUCGUAUACAGUGGUUGGGACUGAGGAACUCAGCACGCCGCAAGGCCGGGAUUUAUCCACGUUCGUGCUUAGGAUGCUGGCAUAAUGGCUUUAAUCGACC